AGAGUGCAUUUUCUAGAGAUACGGAAUUCCCUUCGGGGCUUUCGUACAAGGUGCUGCAUGGUUGUCGUCAGCUCGUGCCGUGAGGUGUCGGGUUAAGUCCCAUAACGAGCGCAACCCUUAUCGUUAGUUGCCAUCUGGUAAAGCAGGGGACUCUAGCGAAACUGCCACCGUAAGGUGAGAGGAAGGUGGGAUGACGUCAAUCAGCACGGCCCUUAUGUCCAGGGCUACACACGUGUUACAAUGGUCGGUACAGAGGGCAGCUACCUGGUGACAGGAUGCUAAUCUCGAAAACCGGCCUCAGUUCGGAUCGAAGUCUGCAACUCGACUUCGUGAAGCUGGAUUCGCUAGUAAUCGCGCAUCAGCCAUGGCGCGGUGAAUACGUUCCCGGGCCUU
This 393-nucleotide ribosomal RNA is filed under the name uncultured Sphingobacteriales bacterium. RNAcentral describes it as "bacterial SSU rRNA". It matches the Rfam family "Bacterial small subunit ribosomal RNA", at positions 988 to 1382 of the family's 1533-position model. The record is from RNAcentral. Lineage: Bacteria; Pseudomonadati; Bacteroidota; Sphingobacteriia; Sphingobacteriales.